AGCAGCCGCGGUAAUUCCAGCUCCAAUAGCGUAUAUUAAAGUUGUUGCAGUUAAAAGCUCGUAGUUGAAUUUCGGGGUCAGUAGGUCGGUCGUGCCACUGGUAUGAACUGGUUUUACUGAUUCCUCCCUCUUGAAGAACUGUAAUGCCAUUAAUUUGGUGUUGCAGGGAAUCAGGACUGUUACUUUGAAAAAUUAGAGUGUUUAAAGCAGGCCUUAGCUUGAAUACAUUAGCAUGGAAUAAUGAAAUAGGACGUUUGAUCCUAUUUUGUUGGUUUCUAGGAUUGACGUAAUGAUUAAUAGGGAUAGUUGGGGGUAUUAGUAUUCAAUUGUCAGAGGUGAAAUUCUUGGAUUUAUUGAAGACUAACUACUGCGAAAGCAUUUGCCAAGGAUGUUUUCAUUAAUCAAGAACGAAAGUUAGGGGAUCGAAGACGAUCAGAUACCGUCGUAGUCUUAACCAUAAACUAUGCCGACUAGGGAUCGGAUGAUGUUAAUUUUUAAUGACUCAUUCGGCGCCUUACGG
This 520-nucleotide ribosomal RNA is filed under the name uncultured Glomus. RNAcentral's name for it is "SSU rRNA". It matches the Rfam family "Eukaryotic small subunit ribosomal RNA", at positions 569 to 1093 of the family's 1831-position model. The record is from RNAcentral. Lineage: Eukaryota; Fungi; Glomeromycota; Glomeromycetes; Glomerales; Glomeraceae.